UUUAUAACAGCUUAAUUUAUCCAAUCUAGAAUAGAUAAGAUAGUGACUAAAAAUAAAAAGACCAUUCCUAUGGAACGGUUGUUUCAAUGAGUUGAUCAUACACCUCCUUUCGAUUAUCAAGUGGAGGGCAAGCCUGGUGCCAGCAGCCGCGGUAAUCCCAGU
RNAcentral lists this non-coding RNA (162 nucleotides) under Angiostrongylus costaricensis. RNAcentral's name for it is "Eukaryotic small subunit ribosomal RNA". It matches the Rfam family "Eukaryotic small subunit ribosomal RNA", at positions 33 to 589 of the family's 1831-position model. Lineage: Eukaryota; Metazoa; Nematoda; Chromadorea; Rhabditida; Metastrongylidae. The record is from Rfam by way of RNAcentral.